AUAUUGCGCAAUGGGGGCAACCCUGACGCAGCCAUGCCGCGUGAAUGAAGAAGGCCUUCGGGUUGUAAAGUUCUUUCGGUAGCGAGGAAGGAAUUUAGUUUAAUAGACUAGGGGAUUGACGUUAACUACAGAAUAAGCACCGGCUAACUCCGUGCCAGCAGCCGCGGUAAUACGGAGGGUGCGAGCGUUAAUCGGAAUAACUGGGCGUAAAGGGCACGCAGGCGGUGACUUAAGUGAGGUGUGAAAGCCCCGGGCUUAACCUGGGAAUUGCAUUGCAUACUGGGUCGCUAGAGUACUUUAGGGAGGGGUAGAAUUCCACGUGUAGCGGUGAAAUGCGUAGAGAUGUGGAGGAAUACCGAAGGCGAAGGCAGCCCCUUGGGAGUGUACUGACGCUCAUGUGCGAAAGCGUGGGGAGCAAACAG
RNAcentral lists this ribosomal RNA (422 nucleotides) under uncultured bacterium. RNAcentral describes it as "bacterial SSU rRNA". It matches the Rfam family "Bacterial small subunit ribosomal RNA", at positions 361 to 775 of the family's 1533-position model. The record is from RNAcentral.